ACCUUUGGCUUUAUUUCUUGUUCUAAGUUCAGAAUUGUUUAGGUCUUGCAUUCUUUUUAUGGACGUCUUCCAUAAUUUGCUGGAAAGUUCUUGGUUAAUUUGGUUGUUGGGAGAUUGUUACUUAAUUAUAUAGUGCAGCCUUGUAUCCCAUUUAACAGUGCAUCUUAUCCAGUAUUUUCUGGCGGGAGGCCGCCUGGAGUUUUACAAAGAGCCGUUUCUGCAGCUCGUAUGAUGUUCUUAUUAGAGCUUCCUUUUAUUUAAAUAGGCUUGAACUAGUCAGUUUUCUCGCCUAAAAAAGGCUUGAACCACAUAGGACUGCUAUGUGGAAUUUUCUAAUAUCUAUUCACUCUUUCUCAUUUUGUCUCGUUCGCAUUGCCUGCCUUAUGCUUUCAAGUUUGGGUCAUAUUUACCAGACUACGAAUGAGGGUAUUAGUGUUAAUGCAUUGUGAUUUUCUCCUUCAUCUAAAGCGGAGCAUAUAUUUCUCCAAAACUUCUUUCUUAAUUCGAUUCAUAUAUUUUUGUUAGCUUUCAUAUAUUUUUUUCUUAACCCAUGGAUUCCCUUUCAAAGAUACUAUUAGAAACUCAGUGACCUUUUUUAGCUUUUGUUUACCAUCAAUGCUUUUGUUGAUAUUAUAUAUUUGCUUUGCAGCCACUUUUGUUUUAUUGCCAUUCAAUUAUUUGGUCAGUUCAACUGGUGAAGGCUCAAGAAAUCCAUUGGCAGACUGCCGUCUUCAUGGGUUGUUUAUACUUAAUUAUUUUCUUAAGUGUGUUGUUGGUGAUGAGUCCAUGACAGACCGAAGCAAUGAAAAUGCAACUGCAGAUUCUCUUUCUAAAGGAAAAACACACUUCUCUGACUUUCCUUACUGCAAAGCCUUAGAAAAUGCAAUUUGAUCGUGUAGAUAUCGAGGGGAAGGCGCACAGUGGGUCACGUGUGAGAUUGCCAUUUGUAUCUCUGUUUGAUACUCUUGGCAUGUAAAUGUCUUGAUCUUUUACCUCCAUGACGAGAGUGAUUUCUAUGGUUUAAGUUAUACUGUGUUUUUGUUAGAUUGGAUGUAUACAUGCUAAUGCUCUACUACUCUUUGUUGGCUUCAAAAAAGUGAUAAUUUUAGACUUUAUUUUGAUUUCUCUUCCUC
This is an RNA transcript of Populus euphratica (Euphrates poplar), 1133 nucleotides long. RefSeq lists it as uncharacterized. The record is from RefSeq and is a predicted model, not a curated record. The transcript has 2 exons. Lineage: Eukaryota; Viridiplantae; Streptophyta; Magnoliopsida; Malpighiales; Salicaceae.